UACAGAGGGUGCUAGCGUUGUUCGGAAUCAUUGGGCGUAAAGGGCGUGUAGGCGGUUUGUUAAGUCAUGUGUGAAAUCCCUCGGCUCAACCGGGGAACGACGCAUGAAACUGGCAAGCUAGAGUACCAAAGAGGGGGGUGGAAUUCCCGGUGUAGCGGUGAAAUGCGUAGAUAUCGGGAAGAACACCCGUGGCGAAGGCGGCUCUCUGGGACGGUACUGACGCUGAGACGCGAAAGCGUGGGGAGCGAACAGG
Molecule: ribosomal RNA, 253 nt
Filed under: uncultured bacterium
Lineage: Bacteria
Description: partial 16S ribosomal RNA
Rfam family: Bacterial small subunit ribosomal RNA
Source: RNAcentral